CAGCUAAAUAUAAAAGUCUCUCUCUCUCUCUCUCUCUCUCUCUCUCUCUCUCUCUCUCUCUCUCUCUCUGUGUUGUGUUGCUGUGACAUUAACAGGAGCAAGGCUGGCCUUUUCUCCAUUGUUUUGUCAGGUGCACAUCUUGCUCUAGCUCUCUUUCUCUCUCUCUCUCUCUCUCUCUCUCUCUCUCUCUCUCUCUCUCUAGCUCUCUGUCUGUCUCGCUUUCUGUCUCUCUCUCCGUUCUUAACACCGUCUGUCUCUCUUUCUCCAGAUUUUUCAUCUCUUCCUCCUGUCUCGUGUGGCACGGGUUCUAGCUGCAUGCUCUCUUCCUCCUUGGUGUGUGUGUGUGUGUGUUCACGUGCGAGUGUGUGAGGCAUUCACUCUGUGCCUGAGUGCCUCCAGAUGGCAGGACUGAUGCCUCUCACGUCCCCCCUCCUCUGCCACACACAGGCUUAUUUUUGUUUUUAUUACAUUUUUUUUUUUUUUUUAUCAGGCUUUUUUUUUUUUUUUUUUAAACGAGCGUCAUUUUUCUGUUGUUGUUGAUUUAUCUGUUUAUUUGCUGUCUCCCAACGUCACUCGACAUCUGACCUGGGACAAGUGCAAAGAGCUGGAACGAUGCACAAAUUCGUACACACACACACACAUGUGCACAUGCACACACAUUUACACAUGCAUUUCCCAGUAGAGCUCAAACUGCGCCGGCCAAAAACAGGACACACAAAGCAGUUUGCCCAUAAACCCCUCGGGAUGCGGGGGGUGGGUGGAUCCGAAUACGGUAGAACUCUUCGUGCGUGAGCUUGUUUUAUAUUAAAAUGUAUUUAAAGGACUUAAAAUAAGAAGAAAACCUGAAAAAAAGGCAAAGACGACUCAACUGACAGAGAUGUGCGGAGGUCGAUGGACGAGAGAGAGAGAGAGAGAGAGAGAGAGAGAGGGGGCCUUGGGUUAAUCUGUCAGUGCUUUCAAUGUUCAUUGUUUGAUAUGCUGCCAUGAUUACGAAUAAAUCAUUCCAUCAGACCAGCGUGACGAGAGUACGAG
This is a long non-coding RNA of Ictalurus punctatus (channel catfish), 1032 nucleotides long. The record is from Ensembl. NCBI's taxonomy places the organism in Eukaryota, Metazoa, Chordata, Actinopteri, Siluriformes, Ictaluridae.